Gadus morhua (Atlantic cod) is the source of this 2562-nucleotide RNA transcript. It is a transcript of the gene named chondrolectin, with no coding region annotated. The record is from RefSeq and is a predicted model, not a curated record. NCBI's taxonomy places the organism in Eukaryota, Metazoa, Chordata, Actinopteri, Gadiformes, Gadidae. The transcript has 9 exons.
UGGAAGGAGGAGUGGACGAGAGAAAGUGAAAAAAGUGCCACGGGAGGUCUGGAAGGAAAAUCAAUCACUCGUCACAGGCGCGCGGGGGAAUCCGGCACACGUUCAGUUGGCUUUGCGCGAGACUCACGUCCGGUCCGAGUGUGCGCUUGCGCUCGGUCUCUACAAACAGCACGAACUGUCCGGAGAAAGUAUCGAACAGCUGAAACGGAAUGAAUACAUUAUUAUUUUAGGAUAGCUUGGGAAUAUUUGAGAAUCGGUAAAGAAGAAAAGUAUGUUGCGCACUUUAGCACGCUAAGAGAUUAAAAAAAAGAAAGAAAAAGAAAAACGGAUGAAGCUAUAAAAAAAUCCUCAAAAAUUUCGAUUAUAAAUUAUUUUUCUAACGCAUUCAUUGUAUUCAAAGAAAGGUUUGUUCAGCUAUGGCGUUGCGCGUGUCGGUGCCGGUUCUGUGUGUCGUCAUGGUGAUGCUCUCCGAGGGACGCAGCGUGCGAGUCGUCAGCGGAAAGACGGUUUGCAUGGGCGGGCGAGAGCAGCCCUGCUACAAGAUCGCCUACUUCCGUGACGUGUUGAGCCGCAUUGCAUUCUGGGAAGCCCAGCAGGCCUGCGAGAUGGACGGGGGAUCCUUGCUGAGCAUCGAAAGCGCCGCAGAGCAGAGAAACAUAGAACAUCUACUACAGGAACUUCGGACCGGGGCAUCUGGUAGCUCCGGGUCGGGUGGGGGAAUAGCUGACGGAGAUUUCUGGAUCGGGUUGACGCGGGCAGAGCCUGAGGAGCAGAACCUUCCAGAACAGACCAACAGCUUCCCUCCCUGUCCAGACCUGUACUCCUGGACGGACGGCAGCGUCUCCAGCUUCAGGAACUGGUAUUUUGACGAGCCUUCUUGUGGAGGCGAGGCCUGUGUCGUCAUGUAUCAUCAGCCCACGGCACUUCCUGGUCUGGGCGGGGCUUAUAUCUACCAAUGGAACGACGACCGCUGCAACAUGAAGCACAACUUUAUCUGCAAAUAUGAUCCAGAGAGCCACCUGGUGAAGGAACAUAGCGACCAACCAGUAGUACACGAGAAAGAGCCCACGUUUGAGACAGAGCCAGACAGACAGCCCGGCGGGACAGAGGAGAGCUCCACCCAUGUCGUCAUGGCUGGCAGCUCAGGUAUGCUGCUGGUGUAUGUCAUCAUACCCACGAUCCCCCUGAUUCUGCUCAUCCUGGUGGCUUCUGGGACUUGCUGUUUUCAAAUGUUCAGCAGAAGCAAGCCACAGACAAAGACCAGCAUCAACAAAUCGACUCUCUGGAUCUCCAAGGGCCCAAAGGUGGAGAGCAUGGAGGUUUAGAGGAACCGCAGUGACAACACAACGAUGUCACGCUAUUCCAUGGAACUGCUGCGCUGGAAGAUGACAUACUGCAACCCAUCACAAACCACCACCACCACCAUCACAAUCAUCAUCAUCAUCAUCAUCAUCACCACCAUUUACUUUGGAAGAGUAGGACGUGGAUAGGGGCGGAGCUGACGGGGAGGAUGACAUCAUCGAGUUUUCCAUUAUGACAUCACUGCCCUCUCCUAACCUGACAAACAUCUCAGCACCUUUUGACCAUGGCGAUUCAGAGAUGUGAGCUAAGGAGAGGACUGUGAUGUCAUAAGGAAAACAAGUUUGGUAACCGGUCUCCCUCCCAGGUCAAACUGUUCUCACGCCACCACCACCACCACCACCACCAACACCACCAACACCCCUCUUUCUAUGCUCCUAAAUCAGAAUGCUGCAAUCUCCCAGGGCCCCUGAACGCACCACCUUUAGACAGUCCUGCUGAGAAUGGAGCAGACUUCACACCACUCCCUGACAAACUAGUGUGAUAUCUAUACAUAGAGUUAUGUAUGUGUGUGAUUAGGGCAGUCAGGGCGUUGAACUCACAGGCCAAAGGGUUCUGGGUUCGAUCCCCAAAUGUCGUUAGCUUACUUGUCCACAUCCUAGAAAAACAUGCCUGACCGCUAUACCUGCUCCUAAACAACCUGAAUCUCUGAACUGUAUGUUGCUCGGGAUACACAAGUCUUUUGAAUAACUUAGUAUUUACCUGCUUUAUAUAUAUUUAUAUUUUAUAUAUUUUAUUGUCUUGAACCUCGACCCUAGAGUGUGGUAACCGACCUUAAUGAUCAGGGGGGAACAAGGUCUCUGGACUUACUGUUGAGUAAAAAUUGUUGGAUAAUGCGUGUACACAUCCUAUGUGUUGACAAGAAUCUGGAUGCAAUCGGACACGUGCACAGAGUUGUAGGUGUGUGUGUACAUGUUCUGAUGUUCUGCAGCAAGUCGUUUUGUAUGUGUGUGAGCAUAUUUUUUCAAUGUGUGUGUCUACUGUCUAUAUUGUUGGUUUGUUUGAGUGUGUCUGCGGAUGUGUGUGUGUGUGGGUGUGUGUGUGUGUGUGUGUGUGUGCGUGUGUGUGUGUGUGUUAUGUAUGUAAAAAGGGUACCUAUUUGUACCCUUAAAGUGGCAGUUAUUCUUUAGCAUGUGAUACUUAAUGGAAGAGGUAAUCAAACCACAAUGAUGAACUCAUUAAUAAACCAUGAAAUUUAAAACA